This 1770-nucleotide long non-coding RNA is filed under the name Selaginella moellendorffii. Its description in RNAcentral is "long non-coding RNA (SMOE_LNC000866)". The record is from RNAcentral. Lineage: Eukaryota; Viridiplantae; Streptophyta; Lycopodiopsida; Selaginellales; Selaginellaceae.
GACUCUUGAUCAUAGUGACUCUUUUAGUUAUUGCUAUCUUGUUGUUCAUGCUAAUGUGAAACAAACCAUUACAAUGGUUUUCCUUUUGAUAGACAAGGUUAAGUGCAUCCAACGGCCACGAUUGCUUUAGGGUUCUUCGUUGCACGCUCAGCCCCAUCACACCAGGACGAUGCAGCUGGCUGUGGCACUGCGGCUAAUCUUUGCGGGAAUGAUCUGGUGCCUGGCAUACGCCGUCGUCGCCGCGAUCGCUGCCGCUACCGUCUUCCACUAAACCCAUGGGUAAACGAAUUCUAGGGUCGAUUCGAUCGGGUCUAGGGAAAUUUCGAUCAAGGAGCGUAUUGCGAUCGACAUUGCGGCCGGAUUGUCCUCUCGCGCAUCCAAAUCGAGCGAAAUUCCGGGCUUGACACUUCGCGUCUAGCUAGAGCCAAGGCAAUCGUACGGUGGAAGGCCUACGAUGGACGGCAUCCAGGCAUCCAAGCAAAAGAACCUAUGGAUGAAACCCAGGUGGCGGAAGAAGAUUCUCUCUUGGAGAUUCCCGGGCUCUCACAGUUUCUACAAAGGUGGUGGUGGUGGUGGUGGUGAUGCCGGGACCAAGAAGAAGAUUCUCUCAUGGAGAUUCCCAGUCUGAGCGAGGGGCUAUUACUCGAUUUCUAGGUGGUGGACUCCCUUUGUUCGUGUGUGUGGAUUGAUGGACGGAUGAUUCCCCACCAGCACAACACAGGGUCAAAUACUUUGCUUUCGCAGCUUUCCUUUUCCUCUUUCUUGCUUGCAUGCAAGGCCGCGGCUUUGACCCCUCUCUCAACCCCAAUAUAUGCCCAAUCCAUGGCGAAGUGACGCGAAGAAGCAGAUCGAGAGGGAUUUAACAAGUCGUGCCUGUGCUUUGGAGGCCCCACGAUACAAAGCCGAACGCUGCUUUAGACGUGUGGAGUUAUAUGUGUAAUGGGCGACAGACGUGACUUUUAAGUUAGUUUUUGGCAAAUGUAUGAAACUGUUUUGCUCUUAAUUGUUCCUUGCUAAGCUUGGCUAGGCAUUCUGUUUUCACAAAGUUUGGAUCUACAUCUCUUUGGAGACAAUGUCACAGGCCCCGAUGAAGGUGGCGGGAUUCCUUUGGAAAAAGCAUAUGAUCCCGUCCAUCUUUUCUGAUUUAUAGAGGCGUGACACUUGGAAAAAGUUGCAUCAUUCUGUUCACUCUUAUGCAUUUCAUCAUGACCAGAGGGGCGAAUCUCUUGCGGCAUCUUCCCAUACAUGCAAAUUGCCUAAUUGUUGGUGAUAAACAUGCUGUUUUCUACUCUAAACCCCCGUCACGUACGUACAUGGGGAUUGCAGACGCAAAAGAAAAAACCCUAGUACAUUUUCUAUGCAAAAGCUUCCGCUCCACGUACCUGCGAAUGAUGCCCACCACCACGCACCGCAUUUCCAUGAGACCACUCAUGCUUAACGCUAAUAAACAAUCCAUCCCGAUCUUAACCAACUCUCAAGUACAUAAUCUAGCAGCUUAGCCCUAAAUCCGGACUCUUACAUCACCACUCCAUCACCUUCUUAGCUGCCUAAGUAUGAGCCAGAUUCCUCAAACAGGAAAGUUACGUACACGUACAUGCAAAAACGAGAGAGAUUUUUAUAAAAAUAUAAAGAAAAAAGAAAAAUGUUGGGCUGUGUUGAUUGAGAGGACCUUCAUUCUGAUUCUCGCUGCACCUGCACCAACAAAAGCUUCUUUUGCAAACAAUGCUGUAAGCUUUUGUCCCUCUGCACAGUGCAAGUUUUUCUAUUAGG